This is a long non-coding RNA of Chinchilla lanigera (long-tailed chinchilla), 1120 nucleotides long. RefSeq lists it as uncharacterized. Lineage: Eukaryota; Metazoa; Chordata; Mammalia; Rodentia; Chinchillidae. The record is from RefSeq and is a predicted model, not a curated record. The transcript has 3 exons.
CUACUUAUUUAUGGGUGCCUCUCAGUGUAGCACCCUUAAGCAGCCUGACUUCACGUAUCUUUGCUGUGAUCUGACAGUGUUGGAGCUUUAUCAGAACACGGAGUCAGUGGGAACCUCUAAGGCUAGUCUAAAAAGCCAAGCUAAUUAGAAAAUUCUGAGACCACCUAAGCGGUGUGACUGUUUCCUGCGUGCAAAGGAUGUGUUUUCUGAGGACGAAUGGAGAAGGCCUCCCGGCGACUCCCAGGAGGUACCAAUGAUAUACCAGUGACCAGAUACUUCCCAUAACUUUUAAUAAGGACAUUUUAUACCUGCAAGACAAGAAUGAGCCUUGGGAUGGUUUGCUAAUGCCUUAUCAAAUUGUCAUAAGCAUCCAUUAUUUACAUGCAAAUGUGUUAUCACGUCACAUAAUGGUGGGAUUAUUGCACUCUGUAACAAGAACAAAUCUGAGCUCUCACAGGUCUGCCAGCUACGAUUAUGGCCAGGGAUCACGAGGAAGCUUGGCAUCAUGGAGCCCAGAAUCAUGGCCUGGGAGUCCCAGCACCCACUGUGCCCACCUCUGCAUGGAGGGAUGUGUGACGGACGGCUGCUGUGUCCUAGCCAGACCCUGCACCAUUGCAACUUGAAUUUUAUAAACCACUGUGUACACAUUAGAUGCAAGUACAGAAGCUCCUUAACUAACAGCAGGGCUAUGGCUCCAUAUACCCACCAAGAGCCUGGAACUGGAAAUGGAAACUGUAUCUAAGGUCACAAACCUUCCACACAUGCAAGUUCCCCUGGACCACACACGGCAGAGGACCUGAUGCUUUUCCUCCGGUUUGUGCGGCUCACACCACGAAGGAGUCACAUACUGCUUACACCCAGGCCAGGAAAAGAGCAGAGGCUGGAAUUUAAAAAUGAUUUCUUCUGCAUGUGUAUCAUCUAUGUAAAAAAAAGUAAGUCUAACCUUCAUAAGUUGGGGAUGAUCUGAACGCAAAUUCCCAAUAAAUAUGGAUUUUCCUUGCAACCUGUAAAAGCAGCCUGGUAGACGAAGCAAACGUUUAGUUUUAGGAGGCCUGAAAAUAGAAUGUCUUGUGCCACUAGCAUCUUUUUCCAGCACCCCUGAUGAUUAAUAAUAAAUUAA